Molecule: ribosomal RNA, 446 nt
Filed under: uncultured bacterium
Lineage: Bacteria
Description: bacterial SSU rRNA
Rfam family: Bacterial small subunit ribosomal RNA
Source: RNAcentral
CCCCAGACUCCUACGGGAGGUAGCAGUGGGGAAUAUUGGACAAUGGGGGGAACCCUGAUGCAGCGACGCCGCGUGGGUGAAGGAGUGCUUCGGCAUGUAAAGCCCUAUCGGCAGGGAAGAAACAGACGGUACCUGACUAAGAAGCCCCGGCUAACUACGUGCCAGCAGCCGCGGUAAUGCGUAGGGGGCAAGCGUUAUCCGGAUUCACUGGGUGUAAAGGGAGCGUAGACGGCGACGCAAGUCUGAAGUGAAAGGCGGGGGCCCAACCCCCGGACUGCUUUGGAAACUGUAUAGCUGGAGUGCAGGAGAGGUAAGUGGAAUUCCUAGUGUAGCGGUGAAAUGCGUAGAUAUUAGGAGGAACACCAGUGGCGAAGGCGGCUUACUGGACUGUAACUGACGUUGAGGCUCGAAAGCGUGGGGAGCAAACAGGAUUAGAUACCCCUGUA